RNAcentral lists this ribosomal RNA (253 nucleotides) under uncultured bacterium. RNAcentral's name for it is "partial 16S ribosomal RNA". It matches the Rfam family "Bacterial small subunit ribosomal RNA", at positions 524 to 776 of the family's 1533-position model. The record is from RNAcentral.
UACGAAGGGGGCUAGCGUUGUUCGGAAUUACUGGGCGUAAAGGGCGCGUAGGCGGUGCAUCAAGUCAGGCGUGAAAGCCCCGGGCUCAACCUGGGAACCGCGCUUGAGACUGGUGCGCUAGAGUUCGGGAGAGGAUGGUGGAAUUCCCAGUGUAGAGGUGAAAUUCGUAGAUAUUGGGAAGAACACCGAUGGCGAAGGCAGCCAUCUGGACCGACACUGACGCUGAGGCGCGAACGCGUGGGGAGCAAACAGG